RNAcentral lists this ribosomal RNA (253 nucleotides) under uncultured bacterium. Its description in RNAcentral is "partial 16S ribosomal RNA". It matches the Rfam family "Bacterial small subunit ribosomal RNA", at positions 524 to 776 of the family's 1533-position model. The record is from RNAcentral.
UACGAAGGGGGCUAGCGUUGUUCGGAAUCACUGGGCGUAAAGCGCACGUAGGCGGGUUGUUAAGUCAGGGGUGAAAUCCCGAGGCUCAACCUCGGAACUGCCUUUGAUACUGGGAAUCUUGAGUUCGGGAGAGGUGAGUGGAAUUGCGAGUGUAGAGGUGAAAUUCGUAGAUAUUCGCAAGAACACCAGUGGCGAAGGCGGCUCACUGGCCCGAUACUGACGCUGAGGUGCGAAAGCGUGGGGAGCAAACAGG